CUCCAGACUCCUACGGGAGGCAGCAGUGGGGAAUAUUGCACAAUGGGGGAAACCCUGAUGCAGCGACGCCGCGUGAGUGAAGAAGUAUUUCGGUAUGUAAAGCUCUAUCAGCAGGAACGAGACAAGACGGUACCUGACUAAGAAGCCCCGGCUAACUACGUGCCAGCAGCCGCGGUAAUACGUAGGGGGCAAGCGUUAUCCGGAAUCACUGGGUGUAAAGGGAGCGUAGACGGCUGUGCAAGCCUGAAGUGAAAGGCGGGGGCUUAACCCCGGAACUGCUUUGGAAACUGUGCAGCUAGAGUGCAGGAGAGGUAAGUGGAAUUCCUAGUGUAGCGGUGAAAUGCGUAGAUAUUAGGAGGAACACCAGUGGCGAAGGCGGCUUACUGGACUGUAACUGACGUUGAGGCUCGAAAGCGUGGGGAGCAAACAGGAUUAGAUACCCUAGUAGA
Molecule: ribosomal RNA, 449 nt
Filed under: uncultured bacterium
Lineage: Bacteria
Description: bacterial SSU rRNA
Rfam family: Bacterial small subunit ribosomal RNA
Source: RNAcentral